Molecule: ribosomal RNA, 619 nt
Filed under: Dothideomycetes sp. A951
Lineage: Eukaryota; Fungi; Ascomycota; Dothideomycetes
Description: SSU rRNA
Rfam family: Bacterial small subunit ribosomal RNA
Source: RNAcentral
AUUGACUAUGUUAAAUAAAGUUCUAGAUAGAUAAAUGAUAAUGACAAAUUUCUAUCUAUAUGUCUUGACCAAGUCUUGUGCCAGCAGUCGCGGCAAUACAAGGAAGACUAGUGUUAUUCAUCUUUAUUAGGUUUAAAGGGUACCUAGACAGUAUUUCUAGCCUCAAAAAGGUACAGAAUUACUAGAGUUUUAUAGGAGAGGUAAAUAUUAGGACUAUUGGUGUAGAGAUGAAAUUCUUUGAUACUAAUGGAACGGAUAACGGCGAAGGCAACCCUCUAUAUGCAAACUGACGUUGAGGGACGAAGGCUUGGGGAGCAAAUAGGAUUAGAUACCCUAGUAGUCCAGGCAGAAAAUGAUGAGUGUUAUAUAUUAAGAAAUAAAAAUUGGUGUAUAAAUGAAAGUGUAAGCACUCCACCUCAAGAGUAAUGUGGCAACACAGGAACUGAAAUCAUUAGACCGUUUCUGAAACCAGUAGUGAAGUAUGUUAUUUAAUUCGAUAACCCUCGAAAAACCUUACCACAAUUUGAAUAGUAUUUAUCGUAAAUCCCUAAAGGGUAUUAAAUAUUACAAGCGUUGCACGGCUGUCUUCAGUUAAUGUCGUGAGAUUUUGGUUAGAUUC